UCUAAACAUAUCGCCUUUUUACUAUUAACUAUUAACUACUAACUAUUAACUACAUAGUGCGAAGCACUGUGACUAGCGGCGAACGGGUGAGUAACACGUGGAUAACCUGCCCCAUACACUGGGAUACCUAUUGGAAACGAUAGUUAAUACCAGAUAAGCACACAUUAUGGCAUCAUAGAGUGUGAAAAGAUUUUAUCGGUAUGGGAGGGGUCCGCGUUAGAUUAGCUAGUUGGUGAGAUAAUAGCUCACCAAGGCUACGAUCUAUAGCCGGUCUGAGAGGAUGAACGGCCACACUGGGACUGAGACACGGCCCAGACUCCUACGGGAGGCAGCAGUCUGGAAUAUUGCACAAUGGGCGCAAGCCUGAUGCAGCAACGCCGCGUGAAGGAUGAAGGCUUUCGAGUUGUAAACUUCUUUAGGUAGGGACGAUAAUGACGGUACCUACAGAAUAAGCCCCGGCUAAAUACGUGCCAGCAGCCGCGGUAAUACGUAUGGGGCAAGCGUUAUCCGGAAUUACUGGGUGUAAAGGGUGAGUAGGCGGUUUGCCAAGUCAUAUGUGAAAUCCCUGGGCUCAACCCAGGAACUGCAUAAGAAACUAGCAAACUAGAGUAUGGGAGAGGCAGGCGGAAUUCCUAGUGUAGCGGUGGAAUGCGUAGAUAUUAGGAGGAACACCAGUGGCGAAAGGCGGCCUGCUGGACCAAAACUGACGCUGAGUCACGAAAGCGUGGGGAGCAAACAGGAUUAGAUACCCUGGUAGUCCACGCCGUAAACGAUGAGUGCUAGGUGUCGGGGGGGAAACCCUCGGUGCCGCAGCUAACGCAAUAAAGCACUCCACCUGGGGAGUACGUACGCAAGUAUGAAACUCAAAGGAAUUGACGGGGGCCCCGCACAGCCGGUGG
This 899-nucleotide ribosomal RNA is filed under the name uncultured Bacillota bacterium. RNAcentral's name for it is "bacterial SSU rRNA". It matches the Rfam family "Bacterial small subunit ribosomal RNA", at positions 79 to 935 of the family's 1533-position model. Lineage: Bacteria; Bacillati; Bacillota. The record is from RNAcentral.